RNAcentral lists this long non-coding RNA (224 nucleotides) under Physcomitrium patens. RNAcentral's name for it is "long non-coding RNA (PPAT_LNC001428)". Lineage: Eukaryota; Viridiplantae; Streptophyta; Bryopsida; Funariales; Funariaceae. The record is from RNAcentral.
CCUCAUAAGGAACUACCACUGGAAGGAACAAAAGUUCAAUUCUCAUAUACAAAGAGAAGUGUUACAUAUACUGCUAUCAAAAUAGCGCAGUAGCUGGAGGAGAACUUAGGGCUGAGUCCGCACUGGGAGUGAAGGAUGAACGUAAGGGAUUGAUUAGAUGUCUGACUCUGAUGGGAGAGCAGCAACGUUCAACACACUCGAAAUUUCAUCGCACGGCGUCAUGA